GCCAUCCUUGGGAUACCACCCUUGUAGUACUGGGACUCUAACCAUAGGCCAUGAAUCUGGUCUUGGGACACUGUCAGGUGGGCAGUUUGACUGGGGCGGUCGCCUCCCAAAAGGUAACGGAGGCGCUCAAAGGUUCUCUCAGUACGGUCGGAAAUCGUACGUAGAGUGUAAAGGCAAAAGAGAGCUUGAUUGCAAGACAUACAGGUCGAGCAAGGAUGAAAAUCGGACUUAGUGAUCCGGUGGUUCUGCGUGGAAGGGCCAUCGCUCAACGGAUAAAAGCUACCCUGGGGAUAACAGGCUUAUCUCCCCCAAGAGUCCACAUCGACGGGGAGGUUUGGCACCUCGAUGUCGGCUCAUCACAUCCUGGGGCUGUAGUAGGUCCCAAGGGUUGGGCGGUUCGCCCAUUAAAGUGGUACGCGAGCUGGGUUCAGAACGUCGUGAGACAGUUCGGUCCCUAUCCGUCGCAGGCGUAGGAAAUUUGAGAAGACCUGUCCUUAGUACGAGAGGACCGGGAUGGACGUACCUCUGGUGUACCAGUUGUCCUGCCAAGGGCAUGGCUGGGUAGCUAUGUACGGAAUGGAUAAGCGCUGAAAGCAUCUAAGCGCGAAG
This 609-nucleotide ribosomal RNA is filed under the name Clostridioides difficile. RNAcentral describes it as "bacterial LSU rRNA". It matches the Rfam family "Bacterial large subunit ribosomal RNA", at positions 2185 to 2792 of the family's 2925-position model. The record is from RNAcentral. Lineage: Bacteria; Bacillati; Bacillota; Clostridia; Peptostreptococcales; Peptostreptococcaceae.